RNAcentral lists this ribosomal RNA (502 nucleotides) under uncultured bacterium. Its description in RNAcentral is "bacterial SSU rRNA". It matches the Rfam family "Bacterial small subunit ribosomal RNA", at positions 791 to 1297 of the family's 1533-position model. The record is from RNAcentral.
UAGUCCACGCCGUAAACGAUGAUUACUCGUUGUGCGCGAUACACAGUGCGCGACUGAGCGAAAGCAUUAAGUAAUCCACCUGGGGAGUACGUUGGCAACAAUGAAACUCAAAGGAAUUGACGGGGGCCCGCACAAGCGGAGGAACAUGUGGUUUAAUUCGAUGAUACGCGAGGAACCUUACCUGGGCUUAAAUGUAGGAUGCAUAAGGUGGAAACACUUUUUUCCUUCGGGACUUCUUACAAGGUGCUACAUGGUUGUCGUCAGCUCGUGCCGUGAGGUGUCGGGUUAAGUCCCAUAACGAGCGCAACCCUUAUCGUUAGUUGCCAUCAGGUCAUGCUGGGGACUCUAGCGAGACUGCCACCGUAAGGUGAGAGGAAGGUGGGGAUGACGUCAAAUCAGCACGGCCCUUAUGUCCAGGGCUACACACGUGUUACAAUGGUCGGUACAAAGGGCAGCUACCUGGUGACAGGAUGCUAAUCCCUAAAGCCGAUCCCAGUUCGGA